GUUUACAAUGCAAGUCGAACGGAAACGAAAAUAGCUUGCUAUUUGGCGUCGAGUGGCGAACGGGUGAGUAACGCGUAGGAAUCUACCCAGUAGAGGGGGAUAGCCCGAAGAAAUUCGGAUUAAUACCGCAUAAUCUCUACGGAGUAAAGAAGGCCUCUUUACAAUGCUUUUACUAUUGGAUGAGCCUGCGUUAGAUUAGUUAGUUGGUAGGGUAAAAGCCUACCAAGGCGACGAUCUAUAGCUGGUUUUACGAGAAUGAUCAGCCACACUGGAACUGAGACACGGUCCAGACUCCUACGGGAGGCAACAGUGAAGAAUAUUGGACAAUGGGGGAAACCCUGAUCCAGCAAUGUUGCGUGUGUGAAGAAGGUCCGAGGAUUGUAAAGCACUUUCAGUAAGCAAGAAAAAUGUAAAUCUAAUAGAUUUGCAUGUUGACCACUUAUAGAAGAAGCACCGGCUAACUCCGUGCCAGCAGCCGCGGUAAUACGGAAGGUGCGAGCGUUAAUCGGAAUUAC
RNAcentral lists this ribosomal RNA (515 nucleotides) under uncultured bacterium. RNAcentral's name for it is "bacterial SSU rRNA". It matches the Rfam family "Bacterial small subunit ribosomal RNA", at positions 47 to 554 of the family's 1533-position model. The record is from RNAcentral.